AGUGGUUUAUCCACAUAAAAUUCUAGAUAGAAUGCUGAUAAUGACAAUUUUCUAUCUAUAAGUCUUGACCAAAUCACGUGCCAGCAGUCGCGGUAAUACGAGGAAGACGAGUGUUAUUCAUCUUUAAUAGGUUUAAAGGGUACCUAGACGGUAUAUCUAGCCUUUUCCAUAAGGGUACGGAUUUAACUAGAGUUUCAUGUAAGAGGUAUAUAUCAGUACUGACAGAGUAGAGAUAAAAUUUUUUGAUACUGUACGGCACUGGUAACGGCGAAGGCAACCCUUUAUGUAAAAACUGACGUUGAGGGACGAAGGCUUGGGUAGCAAACAGGAUUAGAUACCCUAAUAGUCCAUGCAGAAAAUGAUGAGUGCCAUAGGUUAGAAUUAUUUUGAUCUAUAAAUGAAAGUGUAAGCAUUCCACCUCAAGAGUAGUGUGGCAACACAGGAACUGAAAUCAUUAGACCGUUUCUGAAACCAGUAGUGAAGUAUGUUGUUUAAUUCGAUGAUCCGCGAAAAACCUAGCCACAAUUUGAAUAUUAUAGCAAUU
RNAcentral lists this ribosomal RNA (544 nucleotides) under Gyrographa gyrocarpa. RNAcentral's name for it is "mitochondrial SSU rRNA". It matches the Rfam family "Bacterial small subunit ribosomal RNA", at positions 412 to 998 of the family's 1533-position model. The record is from RNAcentral. Lineage: Eukaryota; Fungi; Ascomycota; Arthoniomycetes; Arthoniales; Roccellaceae.